Molecule: long non-coding RNA, 265 nt
Organism: Cyclopterus lumpus (lumpfish)
Lineage: Eukaryota; Metazoa; Chordata; Actinopteri; Perciformes; Cyclopteridae
Exons: 3
Source: RefSeq, a predicted model, not a curated record
UUUAUUUUUUAUUUCUAUAUAUUCUUUCCGAAACAUCUCCCAUCUCUUGCGUGUCUGUUUUCUGAUCGCUUGGUUUAGCCGGAGCUGAUACGGACAGAGACUCUAAGUGACUUCUGGAGACAGAGAAAUGUUCCUGAGGAAACAAUAGAGACCUGAGUCCACUGUUGGAUAUAAAUGCUCACCUCCAGUCACCAGUCCGUCAAGCUCCUGAAGUUCGCGGAUGGCACCACCCUCAUUGGUCUCAUCUCUGGUGGGGAUGAGUCCG